AGCAGUGUGGCUCAGUGGAAAGAGCAUGGGCUUUUCAGUCAGGGCUCUUGAGUUCGAAUCUCAGCUCUGCCA
RNAcentral lists this transfer RNA (72 nucleotides) under Ornithorhynchus anatinus (platypus). It matches the Rfam family "tRNA". Rfam says of the family: Transfer RNA (tRNA) molecules are approximately 80 nucleotides in length. Their secondary structure includes four short double-helical elements and three loops (D, anti-codon, and T loops). Further hydrogen bonds mediate the characteristic L-shaped molecular structure. tRNAs have two regions of fundamental functional importance: the anti-codon, which is responsible for specific mRNA codon recognition, and the 3' end, to which the tRNAs corresponding amino acid is attached (by aminoacyl-tRNA synthetases). tRNAs cope with the degeneracy of the genetic code in two manners: having more than one tRNA (with a specific anti-codon) for a particular amino acid; and 'wobble' base-pairing, i.e. permitting non-standard base-pairing at the 3rd anti-codon position. Lineage: Eukaryota; Metazoa; Chordata; Mammalia; Monotremata; Ornithorhynchidae. The record is from Rfam by way of RNAcentral.